Molecule: ribosomal RNA, 341 nt
Filed under: uncultured bacterium
Lineage: Bacteria
Description: bacterial SSU rRNA
Rfam family: Bacterial small subunit ribosomal RNA
Source: RNAcentral
ACUCCUACGGGAGGCAGCAGUGGGAAUAUUGCACAAUGGGGAAGCCAUCGAUGCAGCCAUGCCGCGCUGUGUGAAGAAGGCCAAUUCGGGCUUGGUUAAAGACACUUUUCAGUAGGGAGGAAGGUAGUGUAGUUAACACCUGCAUUAUUUGACGUUACCUACAGAAGAAGCACCGGCUAACUCCGUGCCAGCAGCCGCGGUAAUACGGAGGGUGCGAGCGUUAAUCGGAAUUACUGGGCGUAAAGCGCAUGCAGGCGGCCUGUUAAGUCAGAUGUGAAAGCCCGGGCUUAAGCCUCGGAAUUGCAUUUGAAACUGGCAGGCUAGAGUCUUGUAGAGGGGUG